RNAcentral lists this ribosomal RNA (264 nucleotides) under uncultured archaeon. Its description in RNAcentral is "partial 16S ribosomal RNA". It matches the Rfam family "Archaeal small subunit ribosomal RNA", at positions 717 to 982 of the family's 1478-position model. The record is from RNAcentral.
ACACGACUACAUUAGAUACCCCGGUAGUCCCAGCCGUAAACUAUGCUCGCUAGGUGUCAGGCAUGGCGCGACCGUGUCUGGUGCCGCAGGGAAGCCGUGAAGCGAGCCACCUGGGAAGUACGGCCGCAAGGCUGAAACUUAAAGGAAUUGGCGGGGAGCACCACAACGGGUGGAGCCUGCGGUUUAAUUGGACUCAACGCCGGGAAGCUCACCGGAUAAGACAGCGGAAUGAUUGCCGGGCUGAAGACUCUGCAUGACUAGCUG